Hevea brasiliensis (rubber tree) is the source of this 1001-nucleotide long non-coding RNA. RefSeq lists it as uncharacterized. The transcript is spliced from 3 exons. The record is from RefSeq and is a predicted model, not a curated record. Lineage: Eukaryota; Viridiplantae; Streptophyta; Magnoliopsida; Malpighiales; Euphorbiaceae.
AAUCUCUCUCUCCCUGGUUUGAAGAGAGAGAACACAGACACACUUCACUUAAGCAAAGCUAGAGGAGAAAGUUUAUUUCUUUUUGAGUUUUCUGGCUAAAAGGGCACUGGUGAAAAACGUUUUGAAUUUCUUUCUGUUUUGUUGUUCUCAUUUUCCCUUUUUUUUUUUUUUCUCUCUGUUAAGUUUUCCUAUUUUUUGGAGCAUGUUAAUGAGAGAGGAGGGAGGGAUCAGGGCCUUGUUGCUUUUGGGAUGUGAUUUUAAGGAGAUGAUUUAGGAGAUAAUGGUGGGGUUAUUCUGGAGAUUUUAGAAAGGGUUUCGUUGGUUUUUCUUCUUUCUUCUUCUUCUUCUUCUUCUCUCUGUUUCUUUUGUUGGGUGAUGGUGAGCUGGGUUUUGGUGUAUUGAUGUUUGGAUCUGAGGAGAUUGAGAAGUUAAAGUUUCGAGGGGAGUGUGCGUGUUUGUUUAGUGGUGAUGGAGAGGAAGGUUGGGGUGUGGCUGAUCUUUCUGCUGCAUCCAUUAUGGCUGGCUUUGGGUAAUACCGAAGAUUUCGUAGAAAUAUGAAUAUCUUAAAGGCAAUUGUCAAUACCGUAUUAGGAUUUUUGGGGUGCAUUACACAAUUGCUCACUUACUUUGCUCCCAUGUAUGUUAUUUUUAUUUUAUAUUUUUACAAUCACACACAUGUUGACUGUUAGUAAUUUCUUGUUUACAUUUUUCUAUUUGCUAAAAGUUUGAAUUUUCUCAAAUCAUUGAUAGAUACUCAAUUAAUGCAAUUAGACGAAAUAGAACAAUCGGACAUAUUCUUGGAGUUCAGUACAUGGCAUCUGGAUUACAGUAUUUGGGCACUUUACUCAACUGUAUCCUUAAUGCUUGGUAUGUCUUUCUUAAUUAUUAUAUUACUUUAGUUUUUAAAAAUUUUAAAAAUAAAAUUAUUUUAUAGGGAAAAAAUUAUUUAUUUAUUUUUCAGUUCUUUAGGGAUAAAUAAAAGGAAAAGAUAUAGUUAGUUA